Molecule: ribosomal RNA, 436 nt
Filed under: uncultured Mogibacterium sp.
Lineage: Bacteria; Bacillati; Bacillota; Clostridia; Peptostreptococcales; Anaerovoracaceae
Description: bacterial SSU rRNA
Rfam family: Bacterial small subunit ribosomal RNA
Source: RNAcentral
ACGGAAGGCAGCAGUAAGGAAUCUUGCACAAUGGGGGAAACCCUGAUGCAGCAACGCCGCGUGAUUGAUGAAGGCCUUCGGGUUGUAAAAAUCUGAUCUAAGGGAAGAAACAAAUGACGGUACCUUAGGAGAAAGCCCCGGCUAACUACGUGCCAGCAGCCGCGGUAAUACGUAGGGGGCAAGCGUUAUCCGGAAUUAUUGGGCGUAAAGGGUGCGUAGGUGGUUACCUAAGCGCAAGGUUUAAUCUUGAGGCUUAACCUCAUUCUGCCUUGCGAACUGGGCUACUUGAGUGCAGGAGGGGAAAGCGGAAUUCCUAGUGUAGCGGUGAAAUGCGUAGAUAUUAGGAAGAACACCGGUGGCGAAGGCGGCUUUCUGGACUGUAACUGACACUGAGGCACGAAAGCGUGGGGAGCAAACAGGAUUAGAUACCCUGGUA